RNAcentral lists this ribosomal RNA (535 nucleotides) under uncultured delta proteobacterium. RNAcentral describes it as "bacterial SSU rRNA". It matches the Rfam family "Bacterial small subunit ribosomal RNA", at positions 863 to 1398 of the family's 1533-position model. The record is from RNAcentral. Lineage: Bacteria; Deltaproteobacteria.
AGUGUUCCGCCUGGGGAUUACGGUCGCAAGACUAAACUCAAAGGAAUUGACGGGGGCCCGCACAAGCGGUGGAGCAUGUGGUUUAAUUCGACGCAACCGCGAAGAACCUUACCUGGGUUUGACAUCCUUGGCUCGCCAUAGAGAUAUGGUUUUCCCUUCGGGGACCGAGUGACAGGUGCUGCAUGGCUGUCGUCAGCUCGUGUCGUGAGAUGUUGGGUUAAGUCCCGCAACGAGCGCAACCCUUGUCCUUAGUUGCCAGCGGUUCGGCCGGGAACUCUAAGGAGACUGCCGGUGUUAAGCCGGAGGAAGGUGGGGAUGACGUCAAGUCCUCAUGGCCUUUAUAUCCAGGGCUACACACGUGCUACAAUGGUGACUACAAAGAGCGGCGAGACCGCGAGGUUAAGCGAAUCUCAAAAAGGUCAUCUCAGUUCGGAUUGCAGUCUGCAACUCGGCNGCAUGAAGUUGGAAUCGCUAGUAAUCGUAGAUCAGCGUGCUACGGUGAAUACGUUCCCGGGCCUUGUACACACCGCCCGUC